This 911-nucleotide ribosomal RNA is filed under the name uncultured Prevotella sp. RNAcentral describes it as "bacterial SSU rRNA". It matches the Rfam family "Bacterial small subunit ribosomal RNA", at positions 27 to 927 of the family's 1533-position model. The record is from RNAcentral. Lineage: Bacteria; Pseudomonadati; Bacteroidota; Bacteroidia; Bacteroidales; Prevotellaceae.
GGAUGAACGCUGGCUACAGGCUUAACACAUGCAAGUCGAGGGGAAACGGCGUUGAGUGCUCGCACUCUUCGGACGUCGACCGGCGCACGGGUGAGUAACGCGUAUCCAACCUUCCCGUCACUGCGGGAUAACCUGCCGAAAGGCAGACUAAUACCGCAUGGCCUUCACUGACGGCAUCAGAGGUGAAGUAAAGCUUUUUAGCGGUGACGGACGGGGAUGCAUCUGAUUAGCUGGUUGGCGGGGCGACGGCCCACCAAGGCUACGAUCAGUAGGGGUUCUGAGAGGAAGGUCCCCCACAUUGGAACUGAGACACGGUCCAAACUCCUACGGGAGGCAGCAGUGAGGAAUAUUGGUCAAUGGGCGGAAGCCUGAACCAGCCAAGUAGCGUGCAGGAUGACGGCCCUACGGGUUGUAAACUGCUUUUAUGCGGGGAUAAAGUGAGGGACGUGUCCCUUUUUGCAGGUACCGCAUGAAUAAGGACCGGCUAAUUCCGUGCCAGCAGCCGCGGUAAUACGGAAGGUCCGGGCGUUAUCCGGAUUUAUUGGGUUUAAAGGGAGCGUAGGCCGGGGAUUAAGUGUGUUGUGAAAUGUAGGCGCUCAACGUCUGAUGUGCAGCGCAUACUGGUUCCCUUGAGUACGCGCAACGCCGGCGGAAUUCGUCGUGUAGCGGUGAAAUGCUUAGAUAUGACGAAGAACCCCGAUUGCGAAGGCAGCCGGCGGGAGCGCAACUGACGCUGAAGCUCGAAGGUGCGGGUAUCGAACAGGAUUAGAUGCCCUGGUAGUCCGCACGGUAAACGAUGGAUGCCCGCUCUCGGCGCCUGGCGCCGGGGGCCAAGCGAAAGCGUUAAGCAUCCCACCUGGGGAGUACGCCGGCAACGGUGAAACUCAAAGGAAUUGACGGGGGCCCGCACA